RNAcentral lists this ribosomal RNA (253 nucleotides) under uncultured bacterium. RNAcentral's name for it is "partial 16S ribosomal RNA". It matches the Rfam family "Archaeal small subunit ribosomal RNA", at positions 474 to 727 of the family's 1478-position model. The record is from RNAcentral.
UACCAGCACCCCGAGUGGUCGGGACGUUAUUGGGCCUAAAGCAUCCGUAGCCGGUUCUACAAGUCUUCCGUUAAAUCCAACUGCUUAACAGGUGGGCUGCGGAAGAUACUAUAGAGCUAGGAGGCGGGAGAGGCAAGCGGUACUCGAUGGGGUAGGGGUAAAAUCCGUUGAUCCAUUGAAGACCACCAGUGGCGAAGGCGGCUUGCCAGAACGCGCUCGACGGUGAGGGAUGAAAGCUGGGGGAGCAAACCGG